This 68-nucleotide transfer RNA is filed under the name Paroedura oviceps. RNAcentral's name for it is "tRNA-His". It matches the Rfam family "tRNA". From Rfam's summary of the family: Transfer RNA (tRNA) molecules are approximately 80 nucleotides in length. The record is from RNAcentral. Lineage: Eukaryota; Metazoa; Chordata; Lepidosauria; Squamata; Gekkonidae.
UAGACAUAGUUUAACCAAAACCCUGGGCUGUGGUCCCAGAAACAAAGAAUUAAGCCCUUUUGUCAACC